GCGCAUUGCACAUCACAUUAUAAGAAACCAUCAUAAUUUUUAUAUUUGUUCGAUGGUGAAUACACGAUAUACUACCCAAUGAACAUGGAGGAUGCACUCCUCCAUUACAAUACUAACAUAUAAACAAAAGUAAAGUCACAGUAAUGCAACACAUUUGUUCAUCAAUUUUUGAAGCAUCAAUAACAAAUGCAUUCAACAAAAAGCAGAAUUGUUUAAACGUUCCCCUAUUAACCAAACACUUACACAUAGAGACCACCUUUCAUACCACUUCUUUAGUCGGAGCAGCAGGCUUCUUCAAAUCAUCAUCCACAACUUUAGUCGGAAUCGCCACAUAUCCCAUCUUCUUAGCACUGGUAACAUCAUAAUCGUCAUUUCCGUCCUCGAACUCAUCAUCAGAAUCCUCAAACUCGAAGCGGUUAGGCCAGAAAAGCGACCAGAUCAAAUACAUACUCGCAGCAGUUAACGCACCACAACCCACACCGAAAAGCAAAGCUCCAACAACCCUCAUAAUAUCCUUGGUCCGGUCACGGAUUGAGCUCGUCACCGACGAGUAAAGUUCCACCGGAAUCAUCGACGAUGAUCGGCUCUCCAGUUCCUCUCCAUCUUCCACAUGUUCAACAGCGUCCUCUUGUUCGAAGAAAACCGGGUCGGGUCCACGGAUUAGAAAUGGGUCGGAUCUUCGGAAGAAAACUGAUGGCCUAAGAAGUCCAAAUCUCGGAGCAUCGUCACGGAAACCGGAGGUGGUAACGAAGAAAGCACGGAAUCGAGGAGAAAUAGAGGGGUUACGGAGGAAGAAAUUGGGGUUAGGGUUAGGGUUUCGAGAAAUAGUUGUGGGGAUCUGGUAAUAGGAAGUGGAGGUGAUGAAGAAUAGGGUUUUGCAUGGCCGGGCGGCGGCGGAGACGGCGAGGAGAGAGAAAGCGAGAAGUAGAAGCGCGAAAUUCGAGGACGCCAUUGACGCUUAGAGAGAGAAAGUAAGAGACGAUGAGAAAAUCAAUAAUGACAA
RNAcentral lists this unclassified non-coding RNA (1003 nucleotides) under Hevea brasiliensis (rubber tree). The record is from RNAcentral. Lineage: Eukaryota; Viridiplantae; Streptophyta; Magnoliopsida; Malpighiales; Euphorbiaceae.